Pelobates cultripes (western spadefoot toad) is the source of this 212-nucleotide non-coding RNA. Lineage: Eukaryota; Metazoa; Chordata; Amphibia; Anura; Pelobatidae. The record is from the annotation of a GenBank genome assembly.
GUUAUUUUAUUUUACAUCAAUACUCAGUGUACACUCUUGGCUGUCUCUUUUCAUCCGAGUAUUGGACACACCGUCGACGGAGGAAGCUCACCGUAUAUCCUGCAAGCGGGGAUCAAACCGCUGUACGCCUUUUAUACCGGAGCAAGUCUUACGCUCUGGCAAAUGUGAGUUUUAGUUCAACUUUUUAUUAUUCUUAAUCUUUCAGUUUUAAG